RNAcentral lists this ribosomal RNA (962 nucleotides) under Salmonella enterica. RNAcentral describes it as "partial 23S ribosomal RNA". It matches the Rfam family "Bacterial large subunit ribosomal RNA", at positions 12 to 929 of the family's 2925-position model. Lineage: Bacteria; Pseudomonadati; Pseudomonadota; Gammaproteobacteria; Enterobacterales; Enterobacteriaceae. The record is from RNAcentral.
UAAGGGCACACGGUGGAUGCCUUGGCACCAGGAACCGAAGAAGGACGUAGGAAUCUGCGAUAAGCCUCGGGGAGUCGAUAACCAGACUGUGAUCCGAGGAUUUCCGAAUGGGGAAACCCGGCUGGAGGCAAGUCCAGUCACUCCCGCCUGAACACAUAGGGCGGGUAGAGGGAACGUGGGGAAGUGAAACAUCUCAGUACCCACAGGAAGAGAAAGCAACCGCGAUUCCGUGAGUAGUGGCGAGCGAAAGCGGAAGAGGCUAAACCUCAGUUGUGUGAUACCUGUCAGGGGUUGCAGCUGGGGGGUCGUGGGACUUUUCGGUCAGUGCUGACACGCUGGCAUGGAGUCAGAAAUGCGCGUUGUAGUCGAAGGGCAUUGAAAGGCCCGGCACAGAGGGUGCUACCCCCGUAGACGAAACGAUGCGCACUCCAGAGAAGUAUCCCAAGUAGCACGGGGCCCGAGAAAUCCCGUGUGAAUCUGGCGGGACCACCCGCUAAGCCUAAAUAUUCCCUGGUGACCGAUAGCGGACAAGUACCGUGAGGGAAAGGUGAAAAGUACCCCGGGAGGGGAGUGAAAUAGAUCCUGAAACCGUGUGCCUACAAUCCGUCGGAGCCUCCUUGUGGGGUGACGGCGUGCCUUUUGAAGAAUGAGCCUGCGAGUUAGUGCUCAGUGGCGAGGUUAACCCGUGUGGGGAAGCCGUAGCGAAAGCGAGUCCGAAUAGGGCGUUUUAGUCGCUGGGUCUAGACCCGAAGCGGAGUGAUCUACCCAUGGCCAGGUUGAAGCGACGGUAAGACGUCGUGGAGGACCGAACCCACUUAGGUUGAAAACUGAGGGGAUGAGCUGUGGGUAGGGGUGAAAGGCCAAUCAAACUCCGUGAUAGCUGGUUCUCCCCGAAAUGCAUUUAGGUGCAGCGUCACGUGUUUCUUACCGGAGGUAGAGCUACUGGAUAGCUGAUGGGCCUC